Molecule: ribosomal RNA, 1158 nt
Filed under: human gut metagenome
Description: bacterial LSU rRNA
Rfam family: Bacterial large subunit ribosomal RNA
Source: RNAcentral
GCGUAAUAGCUCACUGGUCGAGAGGUCCUGCGCCGAAAAUGUCCGGGGCUGAAACACAACACCGAAGCUUAGGAACGAGAAAUCGUUGGUAGAGGAGCAUUCUUAAAGGGGCGAAGCAGUACCGACAAGGAGCUGUGGACUUUUAAGAAGAGAGAAUGCCGGAAUGAGUAGCGAGAUGGAGGUGGGAAUCCUCCAGGCCGAAUAUCCAAGGUUUCCAGAGUAAAGCUGAUCUGCUCUGGGUAAGUCGGGGCCUAAGGCGAGGCUGAAAAGCGUAGUCGAUGGACAACAGGUUGAGAUUCCUGUACCGCGUAUUAUCAGAACUGUGGGGACACAGAAGGACAGCACAUCCCGGGAAUGGGAAAACCGGGGCAAGCAGGGUAGGAGUCAGGCAGGAAAAACCGUCUGGCAAUCCGAAGCUGUGAAGCGGAGCGAAUGAAAGUAGCGAAGUGUGCGAUUCCAGCUGUCAAGAAAAGCCGCUAUUGUGUGAUACGUGCCCGUACCGUAAACCGACACAGGUAGAUGAGGAGAGAAUCCUAAGGCCGGCGGGAGAAGCAUUGUUAAGGAACUCGGCAAAAUGACCCUGUAACUUCGGGAUAAAGGGUGCCCACGAGAGUGGGCCGCAGAGAAUAGGCUCAAGCAACUGUUUAGCAAAAACACAGGUCUAUGCGAAACCGUAAGGUGAAGUAUAUGGGCUGACGCCUGCCCGGUGCUGGAAGGUUAAGAGGAGAGGUUAGCGCAAGCGAAGCUUUGAAUUUAAGCCCCAGUAAACGGCGGCCGUAACUAUAACGGUCCUAAGGUAGCGAAAUUCCUUGUCGGGUAAGUUCCGACCCGCACGAAAGGCGUAAUGAUUUGAGCGCUGUCUCGACAAUGCACCCGGUGAAAUUGAAAUACCAGUGAAGAUGCUGGUUACCUGCGCCAGGACGGAAAGACCCCAUGGAGCUUUACUCUAGCUUGAUACUGGGAUUCGGUACUGCAUGUACAGGAUAGGUGGGAGACUUUGAUGACAGGACGCCAGUCUUGUCGGAGUCGCUGUUGGGAUACCACCCUUGUGGUACUGGAUUUCUAACCAACCUCCGUGACCCGGAGGUGGGACAAUGUCAGGUGGGGAGUUUGACUGGGGCGGUCGCCUCCGAAAGGGUAUCGGAGGCGCUCAAAGGU